Molecule: ribosomal RNA, 468 nt
Filed under: uncultured bacterium
Lineage: Bacteria
Description: partial 16S ribosomal RNA
Rfam family: Bacterial small subunit ribosomal RNA
Source: RNAcentral
GACGAACGCUGGCGGCGUGCUUAACACAUGCAAGUCGAACGGACAGGCCCUGAUCUUGUGGGUUGCUCGAGUGGCGAACGGGUGAGUAACACGUGAGUAAACUGCCCUUGACUUUGUGAUAACAUCAGGGAACUGGGGCUCAUACCGGGUAGGAGCUCCCGAUCCGUGGUGUGGGUUGGAGAGAUUCGGCGGUGGGGGCUGGACUCGCGGCUUAUCCGCUUGUUGGGGGGGUAGUGGCUUACGAAGGGUGUGACGGGUAGCCGGCAUUAGAGGGUGACCGGCGACAAUGGUACUAAGAGACGGAGCAGACGCCUACGGGAGGCAGCAGUGGGGAAUAUGGCGGAGUGGGCCGAAGCGUGAUGCAGAGGCGCCGCGUGCGUGAUGACGGGUUUCGAGUUAUAAACCGCCGUGGACGGUGACGAGGCGGGAGUGACGGUAAUUGGUAAAGAAGCACCGGCUAACUACGUG